This 260-nucleotide ribosomal RNA is filed under the name uncultured Staphylococcus sp. RNAcentral's name for it is "partial 16S ribosomal RNA". It matches the Rfam family "Bacterial small subunit ribosomal RNA", at positions 545 to 802 of the family's 1533-position model. The record is from RNAcentral. Lineage: Bacteria; Bacillati; Bacillota; Bacilli; Caryophanales; Staphylococcaceae.
CCGGAAUUAUUGGGGCGUAAAGCGCGCGUAGGCGGUUUUUUAAGUUCUGAUGUGAAAGCCCACGGCUCAACCGUGGAGGGUCAUUGGAAACUGGAAAACUUGAGUGCAGAAGAGGAAAGUGGAACUCCAUGUGUAGCGGUGAAAUGCGCAGAGAUAUGGAGGAACACCAGUGGCGAAGGCGACUUUCUGGUCUGUAACUGACGCUGAUGUGCGAAAGCGUGGGGAUCAGACAGGAUUAGAUACCCUGGUAGUCAAGGGCG